This 482-nucleotide ribosomal RNA is filed under the name uncultured bacterium. RNAcentral's name for it is "partial 16S ribosomal RNA". It matches the Rfam family "Bacterial small subunit ribosomal RNA", at positions 28 to 507 of the family's 1533-position model. The record is from RNAcentral.
GACGAACGCUGGCGGCGUGCUUAACACAUGCAAGUCGAACGAUGAAGAAGAGAAACGCGAACUUCGGUUCAAAUUUCACUUCGGAUUAGUGGCAAACGGGUGAGUAACGCGUGAGCAACCUACCUCUUACAAAGGGAUAGCCUCGGGAAACCGUGAUUAAUACCAUAUGACACAUUCAUAAGGCAUCUUAAGAAUGUUAAAGCUACGGCGGUAAGAGAUGGGCUCGCGUCCCAUUAGCUAGUUGGUGAGGUAACGGCCCACCAAGGCGACGAUGGGUAACCGGCCUGAGAGGGUGAACGGUCACAUUGGAACUGAGACACGGUCCAAACUCCUACGGGAGGCAGCAGUGGGGAAUAUUGCACAAUGGAGGGAACUCUGAUGCAGCGACGCCGCGUGAGCGAUGAAGGAAUUCGUUUCGUAAAGCUCUGUUCUAUGGGAAGAAAAGGACUGUACCAUAGGAGAAAGCCCCGGCUAAAUACGUG